AACGGCCGUACCACGCUGAAUAUACCGGUUCUCGUUAGAUCACCGAAGUUAAGCAUCAUUGGGCGCGGUCAGUACUUGGGUGGGUGAACACCUGGGAACACUGCGUGCCGUU
Molecule: ribosomal RNA, 112 nt
Filed under: Caerostris darwini
Lineage: Eukaryota; Metazoa; Arthropoda; Arachnida; Araneae; Araneidae
Source: RNAcentral